Molecule: transfer RNA, 149 nt
Filed under: Cryoendolithus antarcticus
Lineage: Eukaryota; Fungi; Ascomycota; Dothideomycetes; Cladosporiales; Cladosporiaceae
Description: Rachicladosporium antarcticum tRNA
Rfam family: tRNA
About the family: Transfer RNA (tRNA) molecules are approximately 80 nucleotides in length. Their secondary structure includes four short double-helical elements and three loops (D, anti-codon, and T loops). Further hydrogen bonds mediate the characteristic L-shaped molecular structure. tRNAs have two regions of fundamental functional importance: the anti-codon, which is responsible for specific mRNA codon recognition, and the 3' end, to which the tRNAs corresponding amino acid is attached (by aminoacyl-tRNA synthetases). tRNAs cope with the degeneracy of the genetic code in two manners: having more than one tRNA (with a specific anti-codon) for a particular amino acid; and 'wobble' base-pairing, i.e. permitting non-standard base-pairing at the 3rd anti-codon position.
Source: Rfam by way of RNAcentral
UCCCCGAUGGUCUAGUGGUCAUGAUUUCCGCUUGUCAAACACGAGUUCUAGCUUUCACGAGCGCGGGAGACCAGGUACGUGGUUCGAUCCUUCACCGCAUUGAGCAAUCCCCUAACAUAAUGAUCAGGGUUCGAUUCCCUGUCGAGGAG